RNAcentral lists this ribosomal RNA (493 nucleotides) under uncultured bacterium. RNAcentral describes it as "bacterial SSU rRNA". It matches the Rfam family "Bacterial small subunit ribosomal RNA", at positions 903 to 1397 of the family's 1533-position model. The record is from RNAcentral.
AAAGGAAUAGACGGGGGCCCGCACAAGCGGUGGAGCAUGUGGUUUAAUUCGACGCAACGCGAAGAACCUUACCAAGGCUUGACAUCCCUCUGACAGGAUUUUAACCGAUCCCUUUCUUCGGAACAGAGGAGACAGGUGGUGCAUGGUUGUCGUCAGCUCGUGUCGUGAGAUGUUGGGUUAAGUCCCGCAACGAGCGCAACCCCUACAUCUAGUUGCUACUAUUAAGUUAAGCACUCUAGAAGGACUGCCGGUGAUAAACCGGAGGAAGGUGGGGACGACGUCAAAUCAUCAUGCCCCUUAUGUCUUGGGCUACACACGUGCUACAAUGGGCAGUACAAAGGGUCGCGAAGCCGCGAGGCGAAGCCAAUCCCAUAAAGCUGCUCUCAGUUCGGAUUGCAGGCUGCAACUCGCCUGCAUGAAGUAGGAAUCGCUAGUAAUCGCAGGUCAGCAUACUGCGGUGAAUACGUUCCCGGGCCUUGUACACACCGCCCGU